UACGUAGGGACCAAGCGUUGUUCGGAUUUACUGGGCGUAAAGGGCGCGUAGGCGGCGUGGUAAGUCACUUGUGAAAUCUCUGAGCUUAACUCAGAACGGCCAAGUGAUACUGCUGUGCUAGAGUGUAGAAGGGGCAAUCGGAAUUCUUGGUGUAGCGGUGAAAUGCGUAGAUAUCAAGAGGAACACCUGAGGUGAAGACGGGUUGCUGGGCUGACACUGACGCUGAGGCGCGAAAGCGUGGGGAGCAAAAGGG
This 253-nucleotide ribosomal RNA is filed under the name uncultured bacterium. Its description in RNAcentral is "partial 16S ribosomal RNA". It matches the Rfam family "Bacterial small subunit ribosomal RNA", at positions 524 to 776 of the family's 1533-position model. The record is from RNAcentral.